GUGGUUGUGGCUCAGUGGUAGAGUGCUUGCCUAGCAUGCAUGAGGCACUGGAUUCAAUCCUCGGCACCACA
Molecule: transfer RNA, 71 nt
Filed under: Marmota monax (woodchuck)
Lineage: Eukaryota; Metazoa; Chordata; Mammalia; Rodentia; Sciuridae
Rfam family: tRNA
About the family: Transfer RNA (tRNA) molecules are approximately 80 nucleotides in length. Their secondary structure includes four short double-helical elements and three loops (D, anti-codon, and T loops).
Source: Rfam by way of RNAcentral